CCAGGUUUGCCGAAUGGAAUAACUUGGAUCAUUUUGAUCGCCAUGUUGAAUCGUCAUAUAAAUAUAGUGUUACGUUGGUUAGUAAUUAGCAAGUGUUUAGUAUGAGUGAUAAAUAAUUUUAAUAAUACAUUUUAGAUAUAACAUCAUAAAUAAAAUAAUAGAUUCUGAAGUAAAAUGGCCUGUUGCAUCAAGGGAUGCAAUUCCAGAAGAGACCAAAGUGGAUUAGCAAAAAAAAGUUUUUUUGCACCUCGCACAAUAAAUUAUUUAUGUUAUAAUGAUAUGUUUAUUUCUUGGUAUAAUAUUUUGUAUACUAAAAAUAUAAAAAUAAAGAAGUAUAGCAGAAUUUGUGAACUGCACUUUAAGUCAGAAGAUAUUAUUAAAGAAGAUGCUUUUUUACAAAACGAUGGAACAGUUAUCAAUGUAAAAAGAAAAAAUCCAAAGUUAAAAGAAGGAGCAAUUCCUUCACUCCUUUUUCAAUAAAAAAUAUAUCAUGUUGUCAGCAGAUAGAACAUAAUAAUAGUGAUGACAUUAUGUUUUGUGAGUUUUCAACUGAAUGUGAAUCCUGAGAAAUAAUUUCACAUUCAGCGGAAGAAACAAUUUCUUCUACAUUGCAUGGGAUAAAUAAUGUAUUACAAGAAGAAAAUAGAUCUUUUGUACAAGAAAAAGAAACAAUUAAAUUUUCUGCUGAAGAUAUCAAUAUUGCAAAAAAUAUUGAGGCUCCUACAAGUUAUUGGUUUGCAAACAUUAAUGAUAAUUGUAUGAUGUGGACAUGUUGGGCAAAUAAAAAAAGCAACAAUAUAUAUAACAUGUAUCAAAGGAUUUGAAAAUUUAGUUUAUAUAAUUCGUAUAUGCAAUUAUAUAUAAAUACAUAUCAUACAUACUUA
Cataglyphis hispanica is the source of this 884-nucleotide long non-coding RNA. RefSeq lists it as uncharacterized. Lineage: Eukaryota; Metazoa; Arthropoda; Insecta; Hymenoptera; Formicidae. The transcript is spliced from 3 exons. The record is from RefSeq and is a predicted model, not a curated record.